GAUGAACGCUGGCGGCGUGCUUAACACAUGCAAGUCGAACGAAGCAUUUAGGACAGAUUACUUCGGUUUGAAGUUCUUUAUGACUGAGUGGCGGACGGGUGAGUAACGCGUGGGUAACCUGCCUUGUACUGGGGGAUAGCAGCUGGAAACGGCUGGUAAUACCGCAUAAGCGCACAAUGUUGCAUGACAUGGUGUGAAAAACUCCGGUGGUAUAAGAUGGACCCGCGUCUGAUUAGCUAGUUGGUGAGAUAACAGCCCACCAAGGCGACGAUCAGUAGCCGACCUGAGAGGGUGACCGGCCACAUUGGGACUGAGACACGGCCCAGACUCCUACGGGAGGCAGCAGUGGGGAAUAUUGCACAGUGGAGGAAACUCUGAUGCAGCGACGCCGCGUGAGUGAAGAAGUAAUUCGUUAUGUAAAGCUCUAUCAGCAGGGAAGAUAGUGACGGUACCUGACUAAGAAGCUCCGGCUAAAUACGUG
Molecule: ribosomal RNA, 481 nt
Filed under: uncultured bacterium
Lineage: Bacteria
Description: partial 16S ribosomal RNA
Rfam family: Bacterial small subunit ribosomal RNA
Source: RNAcentral